RNAcentral lists this ribosomal RNA (253 nucleotides) under uncultured bacterium. Its description in RNAcentral is "partial 16S ribosomal RNA". It matches the Rfam family "Bacterial small subunit ribosomal RNA", at positions 524 to 776 of the family's 1533-position model. The record is from RNAcentral.
UACGGAGGGUGCAAGCGUUAUUCGGAAUUACUGGGCGUAAAGCGCGUGCAGGCGGGCCGGCAAGUCUGAUGUGAAAGCCCCGGGCUUAACCUGGGAAGUGCAUUGGAAACUGCUGGUCUUGAGUUCUGGAGAGGAAGGGGGAAUUCCCGGUGUAGAGGUGAAAUUCGUAGAGAUCGGGAGGAAUACCAGUGGCGAAGGCGCCCUUCUGGACAGUAACUGACGCUGAGACGCGAAAGCGUGGGGAGCAAACAGG